GUGCCAGCCGCCGCGGUAAUACGAAGGGGGCUAGCGUUAUCCGGAAUCACUGGGCGUAAAGGGUGCGUAGGUGGCUUAUCAAGCCAGAGGUGAAAUGCAGUGGCUCAACUAUUGAAAUCCUUUGGAACUGAUUAACUUGAAUGCAGGAAAAGUAAAUGGAAUUCCUAAUGGAAAAGUGAAAUUCCUAAAUAUUAGGAGGAACACCAAUGGCGAAAGCGACUUACUGGACUGUAACUGACACUGAGGCACGCAAAGCGUGGGUAGCGCAACAGGAUUAAAUACCCUGGUAAUCCACGCCCUAAACCAUGAAUACUAAGUGUCGGGCGUCAUAGCUCGGUGCCGCAGCAAACGCAUUAUGUAUUCCGCCUGGGGAGUACGCACGCAAGUGUGAAACUCAUCGGAAUUGACGGGGACCCGCACAACCAGCGGAGCAUGUGGUUUAAUUCUAAGCAACGCGAAGAACCUUACCAGGUCUUGACAUCCCUCUGAAGUAGCCUUACCCAGAUAUGUCCUUCCGGACAGGGUAGACAGGAGGCGCAUGCUUGUCGUCAGCUCGCGUCUCGAGAUGUUGGAUUAAGUCCCGCAUCCAGCGCAAACCUUGUGUUUAGUUGCUAACAGGCAAAGCUGUGCACUCUAAUCAAACUGCCAUGCAUACACUGAACGAAAGGGAGGAUGACGUCAAAUCAUCAUGCCCCUUAUGAUCUGGG
Molecule: ribosomal RNA, 707 nt
Filed under: uncultured low G+C Gram-positive bacterium
Lineage: Bacteria; Bacillati; Bacillota
Description: bacterial SSU rRNA
Rfam family: Bacterial small subunit ribosomal RNA
Source: RNAcentral